GGAUUAGGACGCUGGCCUUCCAAGCCAGAGGUCCCGGGUUCGAAUCCCGGCCGCCG
This 56-nucleotide transfer RNA is filed under the name Caldisphaera sp. Its description in RNAcentral is "tRNA-Gly". It matches the Rfam family "tRNA", at positions 15 to 64 of the family's 71-position model. Rfam says of the family: Transfer RNA (tRNA) molecules are approximately 80 nucleotides in length. Their secondary structure includes four short double-helical elements and three loops (D, anti-codon, and T loops). Further hydrogen bonds mediate the characteristic L-shaped molecular structure. tRNAs have two regions of fundamental functional importance: the anti-codon, which is responsible for specific mRNA codon recognition, and the 3' end, to which the tRNAs corresponding amino acid is attached (by aminoacyl-tRNA synthetases). tRNAs cope with the degeneracy of the genetic code in two manners: having more than one tRNA (with a specific anti-codon) for a particular amino acid; and 'wobble' base-pairing, i.e. permitting non-standard base-pairing at the 3rd anti-codon position. Lineage: Archaea; Thermoproteati; Thermoproteota; Thermoprotei; Acidilobales; Acidilobaceae. The record is from RNAcentral.